Molecule: ribosomal RNA, 532 nt
Filed under: Cronobacter sakazakii ATCC BAA-894
Lineage: Bacteria; Pseudomonadati; Pseudomonadota; Gammaproteobacteria; Enterobacterales; Enterobacteriaceae
Description: SSU rRNA
Rfam family: Bacterial small subunit ribosomal RNA
Source: RNAcentral
AGAUUGAACGCUGGCGGCAGGCCUAACACAUGCAAGUCGAACGGUAACAGGGAGCAGCUUGCUGCUCUGCUGACGAGUGGCGGACGGGUGAGUAAUGUCUGGGAAACUGCCUGAUGGAGGGGGAUAACUACUGGAAACGGUAGCUAAUACCGCAUAACGUCUACGGACCAAAGUGGGGGACCUUCGGGCCUCAUGCCAUCAGAUGUGCCCAGAUGGGAUUAGCUAGUAGGUGGGGUAACGGCUCACCUAGGCGACGAUCCCUAGCUGGUCUGAGAGGAUGACCAGCCACACUGGAACUGAGACACGGUCCAGACUCCUACGGGAGGCAGCAGUGGGGAAUAUUGCACAAUGGGCGCAAGCCUGAUGCAGCCAUGCCGCGUGUAUGAAGAAGGCCUUCGGGUUGUAAAGUACUUUCAGCGGGGAGGAAGGUGUUGUGGUUAAUAACCACAGCAAUUGACGUUACCCGCAGAAGAAGCACCGGCUAACUCCGUGCCAGCAGCCGCGGUAAUACGGAGGGUGCAAGCGUUAAUCG